Molecule: long non-coding RNA, 1375 nt
Organism: Cyprinus carpio carpio
Lineage: Eukaryota; Metazoa; Chordata; Actinopteri; Cypriniformes; Cyprinidae
Source: Ensembl
GGCAGCUGGCAGCAGGAAGUGGAGACCCGAGCUGCACUGUGGCCAAAGAUAAAAGAAGCUAGAGAUGCGGGGAAGCGUGCGUACUUCAGAGGAGGUGUUGGAUAUAUAAAUGGACAAAGAGUUACUUAGGAACACAUAAGUAGUUGCCAGAUGCUGUCCUGUCGGACAUUAUUCUUCAUGUGGUCCUGGAGGAGGGUGAUGCUGCAUUAUUAAAUCUGUCUUUGGUUUGUUCCAAAUUCAGAAGUCUGGUGUAUACAGACUCAAUUUGAAAGAGGGCACACUUCUGCUGACUUGACAGUGUAACAAAAUGGAGAACAAGUCUGAGCCAUGCCAAGAAUUCUUAAAAAUGUACACACUGCAGCCCUGCGAUGAGGUUUACAAGAACUGCUUACCAGGUCACCGUAGCCACCAGAUCCAGUCUGUAUGCAGAUCAGAGGGUCACUGCAGUCACCCGGAUCCAGUAUGUAUCCAGCCCAGAUGGUGGAUCAGCACCUAGAGAGGACCUCUACAGCCCUGAAAGACAGCGGAGACAAGGACAACUAGAGCCCCAGAGAAAGAUCCCCUGUAAAGACCUUGUCUUAGACGACCACCGGGACAAGACCACAGGAAACAGAUGAUUCUUCUGCACAAUCUGACUUUGCUGCAGCCUGGAAUUGAACUGCUGGUUUCGUCUGGUCAGAGGAGAACUGGCCCCCCGACUGAGCCUGGUUUCUCCCAAGGUUUUCUCUCCUUUCUGUCACCGAUGGAGUUUUGGUUCCUCUGGUUUGCUUAGUUGGGGAUACUUCAUUUACAGCGAUAUCAUUGACUUGAUUGCAAAUGAUUGCACAGAUACGAAUUAAACUGAACUGAGCUGGAUGAUGACAUCACUGAGUUCAAUGAUGAACUGCCUUUAACUAAAAAUUUUGUUUACUAUUGUCCUUCUGCAUUAUUGACACACACUAUGCUCCUAUUUAAUACUGUAAAGUUGCUUUGACACAAUCUGUAUUAUUAAAAGCACUACAUAAAUAAAGGAGACUUGACUUGACUAUGUUGGAAGAGGAAAGCGAGGAGAGAUGCACACCCAUCCAGGGUUUUGCAGUGAUUGGUGCAAGGUGCUGGAGGAGUAACUCUGUAGAACUCAUCAGUUCUGAUCUGAGAUUCUUGUAAAUACCUCAGGAUUGUUGUUAGUGAUUCUGAUUGAUAUUUCCGUCUGCUUGCUUAUUGGAUGUAUUUUAUACUGUUUACAUUGUAUAGUACUGACUUUGACAACAUACCAAGACUGUUACAAAUUUAACAGCUACGUUAUAUAUACAUAUAUAUAAUUAUUUCUUGAAAUACUACAAUUGUAAAAAAUAUAACAGCAAAAUAUGAUUGUAAAUAAAGGUAAUUGAUGAGA